Molecule: ribosomal RNA, 497 nt
Filed under: uncultured bacterium
Lineage: Bacteria
Description: partial 16S ribosomal RNA
Rfam family: Bacterial small subunit ribosomal RNA
Source: RNAcentral
GAUGAACGCUGGCGGCGUGCCUAAUACAUGCAAGUCGAGCGAACAGAUGAGGAGCUUGCUCCUCUGACGUUAGCGGCGGACGGGUGAGUAACACGUGGAUAACCUACCUAUAAGACUGGGAUAACUUCGGGAAACCGGAGCUAAUACCGGAUAAUAUAUUGAACCGCAUGGUUCAAUAGUGAAAGACGGUUUUGCUGUCACUUAUAGAUGGAUCCGCGCCGCAUUAGCUAGUUGGUAAGGUAACGGCUUACCAAGGCAACGAUGCGUAGCCGACCUGGGAGGGUGAUCGGCCACACUGGAACUGAGACACGGUCCAGACUCCUACGGGAGGCAGCAGUAGGGAAUCUUCCGCAAUGGGCGAAAGCCUGACGGAGCAACGCCGCGUGAGUGAUGAAGGUCUUCGGAUCGUAAAACUCUGUUAUUAGGGAAGAACAAAUGUGUAAGUAACUAUGCACGUCUUGAUGGUACCUAAUCAGAAAGCCACGGCUAACUACGUG